This 816-nucleotide long non-coding RNA is filed under the name Sus scrofa (pig). RNAcentral's name for it is "lncRNA (ENSSSCG00055003966.1)". The record is from RNAcentral. Lineage: Eukaryota; Metazoa; Chordata; Mammalia; Artiodactyla; Suidae.
UGGAGCCAGCUCUAAAGCAGCUCUGUACCACUUGGGUAGCCUCCACUGGGGACAUUUGGAACUUGGCGCUAGAGUGAAAUCUUCAGACUCUAAGUUAAAGGGGCAUAUAAAAAUGUUACUAGCAUGGGCGGCAAAAGCAGCACUACCUAUGGGAAAAGCAGCCAAUCUCUGGCAAUGAAUAAGUGUAAUUGAUCACAAAAGAUGACUUGAUGGCCCUUCCAAACGUGCUUUUAGCAAAGUGGACAGUUUUUCAUUCAAAUGCAAGCUCACCCAGAUAAAAUCUAAUAAUGGAGACUUUGGAACAAUCCCAGCGUCAGCAAUUCCUUUUUUUCCCCCACUCUCCUUCUCUGAACAGGAAGGCAUCUUAAGUUCCUGGUCACAGCUUGACCUAAUCAGAUGACAAUUUAUGCUUUCCCUAAGGCUGAGGAGACCCUGACAGUCCCUGGGGCAGCAAAAGGCGCCUGAGGUUAAACAGGACCAACCAAGUGUCUCAGGGAGGAGCGGGGAAGUGAGCAGCAGGCGAGGCCUAGGACAGGAGCGGCGGGGAUCUAGAGAGGGGUGCGCCUACCUGCCAAGGAGCCGUCCUCGUGGUCGGAGCUGUUGUAGCUGCAGUCACUGCCCCUCUCGGGCGAGCUGUGGCCCGGCGAGUCCCGCUCCGGCAACCCCAGGUACCUCUUGCGCCGCCACGGGGGGAGGUGCUCGCGAGCCCUCCGCCGUGGCGGCUCCUCUGCCACCGGGGGCGAGCCCCGCCCGUCCUUGGCCUCUGCCUCCAGUUGCUCCAGGUCGCGGCUCCCGCGCAGCUGCCGCCGGCCGCCG